RNAcentral lists this long non-coding RNA (250 nucleotides) under Lathyrus oleraceus (garden pea). RNAcentral describes it as "Pisum sativum (pea) long non-coding RNA (PSAT_LNC023089)". The record is from RNAcentral. Lineage: Eukaryota; Viridiplantae; Streptophyta; Magnoliopsida; Fabales; Fabaceae.
AGAGUCCCGUUAGAGUCUCUAUUCCUAGCGAGUGUAUUGCUCCUAUGGAUUGUCUUUUCUCCCGAUGUCUUUUCUUCUUUUUGGACGCAUAUCCCCCACAGAGUUUGUUUGUUUUGCAUACAUUUGCAUCAUGAGGUCUCUCAGGGACCAACAUUUGUCUCUUUGUUAUUAUUUAAGCCCAUUCUACCUCGUCGAGAUGAAGAUUUUAACCUUCAUUUCUCCGGCUAGAAUGACCUUAAAUAGGGGCAUC